GACGAACGCUGGCGGCGUGCUUAACACAUGCGAGUCGAACGGAAAGGCCCUGCUUUUGUGGGGUGCUCGAGUGGCGAACGGGUGAGUAACACGUGAGUAACCUGCCCUUGACUUUGGGAUAACUUCAGGAAACUGGGGCUAAUACCGGAUAGGAGCUCCUGCUGCAUGGUGGGGGUUGGAAAGUUUCGGCGGUUGGGGAUGGACUCGCGGCUUAUCAGCUUGUUGGUGGGGUAGUGGCUUACCAAGGCUUUGACGGGUAGCCGGCCUGGGAGGGGGACCGGCCACAUGGGGACUGAGAUACGGCCCAGACUCCUACGGGAGGCAGCAGUGGGGAAUAUUGCACAAUGGGCGGAAGCCUGAUGCAGCAACGCCGCGUGCGGGAUGACGGCCUUCGGGUUGUAAACCGCUUUCGCCUGUGACGAAGCGUGAGUGACGGUAAUGGGUAAAGAAGCACCGGCUAACUACGUG
Molecule: ribosomal RNA, 468 nt
Filed under: uncultured bacterium
Lineage: Bacteria
Description: partial 16S ribosomal RNA
Rfam family: Bacterial small subunit ribosomal RNA
Source: RNAcentral